GCUGGGCAUCGUGGUGCAUACCUGUGGUCCCAGCUACUUGGGAGGCUGAGGCAGGAGGAUUGCUUGAGCCCUGGAGUUCGAGCCUGCAGUGAGCUGUGAUCACACCACUGCACUCCAGCCUGGGCAACAGAGUGAGACCCUGUCUCUA
Molecule: non-coding RNA, 148 nt
Organism: Gorilla gorilla gorilla (western lowland gorilla)
Lineage: Eukaryota; Metazoa; Chordata; Mammalia; Primates; Hominidae
Rfam family: Metazoan signal recognition particle RNA
About the family: The signal recognition particle (SRP) is a universally conserved ribonucleoprotein. It is involved in the co-translational targeting of proteins to membranes.
Source: Rfam